Molecule: ribosomal RNA, 301 nt
Filed under: uncultured bacterium
Lineage: Bacteria
Description: partial 16S ribosomal RNA
Rfam family: Bacterial small subunit ribosomal RNA
Source: RNAcentral
CAGCAGCCACGGUAAUACGAAGGGUGCAAGCGUUAAUCGGAAUUACUGGGCGUAAAGCGUGCGUAGGCGGUUUGUCAAGUCUGCUGUGAAAUCCCCGGGCUCAACCUGGGAAUGGCAGUGGAUACUGGCUCGCUAGAGUGUGUCAGAGGAUGGUGGAAUUCCCGGUGUAGCGGUGAAAUGCGUAGAGAUCGGGAGGAACAUCAGUGGCGAAGGCGGCCAUCUGGGACAACACUGACGCUGAGGCACGAAAGCGUGGGGAGCAAACAGGAUUAGAUACCCCCGUAGUCCCUGUCUCUUAUAC